Non-coding RNA from Macaca mulatta (Rhesus monkey), 4104 nucleotides. The record is from RefSeq and is a predicted model, not a curated record. NCBI's taxonomy places the organism in Eukaryota, Metazoa, Chordata, Mammalia, Primates, Cercopithecidae.
CAGCUAAUUUUUGUAUUUGCAGUAGAGAUGGGAUUUCACUACAUUAGCUAGGCUGGUCUCGAACUCCUGACCUCAGUUGACCCACCUGCCUUGGCCUCCCAAAGUACUAGGGUUACAGAUGUGAGCCACUGUGCCCAGUUGAGAUCUGAUGGUUUUAUACAUGUUUGACGGUUGCUCCUUCACAUGUUCACACUCUCUGUAUGGCCACCAUGUAAGUCAGAUCUGGUUCCCUUCUGCCAUGAUUGUAAGUUUCCUGAGGCCUUCUCAGCCAUGCGAAACUGUGAGUCAAUUAAACCUCUUUCCUUUAUAAAUUACCCAGCCUCAGGUAUUUCUUUAUAUCAGUGUGAAAACAGACUGAUAUAAUUUCUGAUAAUCAUGCUUGAGGAAUUGGGGGAUUCAGACUACCUGGGAUCAAAUUGUGGCCUCACCCUUAGCAGUCACAUGACCUUGGGGAAGUUACUUACCUUCUCCAUCUCAAGUUCUUCUGUAAAAUCUGUAAAUGAGAUUGUUUCUGAAGGUUAAAUGAGCAUAUCACAGUGGGGACACUGUCAGGCACAUACUACUUGCCAGAUGUCGAGUAUUCAUCUUUACUGAAUUAGGAUGGUGGUAACCCACUUUAUGGCUCUCAAUUUUGUAUGACAAAAUCAUGCAUAGUGCUUUGUUAGUAAAAGAAAGAAAAUCUGAAAGUCCCUGCCAUGGAAGGAAGAAAUAGCGGGGAGAAAAGGGAGUUGGUAAGUUUCAGCAUUUCAGAGCUUGGAGGGACAAGUUAGGUUUCUAUUUUAUGGAGAAGGAGGUGGAGGCAGGAUGGGUCCCAAGGUGUCAUUCAAGACACACAGCCAUAACUCUUUAUUGAGAAUAUGCUAGGGCCCCAGGGAUUGCUGUGUUCAAGUUGCAGACAAAAACAACCACUCAUUGGAAGACAGGAGAAGAGUGUUUAGUUACAAAAGCAAAAAAAAUAGAUACAAAAAUAGAUACAUUCAGGUGUAUCUAUAUUCAGUCAGCAAAUAAAAGUUGUUCAACUUGGUUGCUAAUGGGACCCACUCUAGUGAGGCUUUGUGUAGAACUCAGAGAGGAAGAAGGCUUCAAGUAACGAACUACCCUGUGCUUUUCUUAGGACUAAAAAUCUCCGGAAGCUGGUGAUGGAUGAAAACCUUAGUCCCACUGGCACUGCACGAGGGGCCAGGAGAGCAUCAUCAUCAUAAGCCACAGGGUGGGGCAGCCCAGGCAGGGGCAUUCUGAGCUGUUGGGGAGGGGUGGCAGCCAGGAUGGGGCACUGUGAGCUGUCAGGGAGGGCAUUAUGAAGUGUGAGGUGGGGCAUUGUGUGCCACAUGCCUAGGCACCCACCUGGGCCAGUGGGCUUCAGUCUGUAGGUGACUACAAAAGGAGGAGGAGCUCCGUCUGUUCUCUCUUCAGGCAGUUGUUGUGUCUCUCAGUGCUUGUUGGGUUCACAACCUAUUAAAUAAGCGGGCUGGUCUUCACCCUCGCAGACAAGUCAGCUCAGGGGAAGCGGCAGGGUGCGGGCCUUGGCAGUCCCAUCCGGGGCCGGGGCCGGGUUGUAAGGUGGGCAGGCGAGCAGCAGGCAAGACCAUCUCUGCAAGUGCAGCAUAGCCUUGGCCUAGGGCAGCGGGAGUGUGAGCCCAAGCUGUGAGCAGAGGCCCAGGUGGUGGCAUACAGUAGAGGCGUUCCAUGGGGAACAUACUGACCUGUUGUGUGUGCCCCAGGAUCAGCCCCGAGUUUGACCAGCAACAGGGGUCUGUGUGUCCCUCUGAAUCUGAGAUCUAUGAGGCAGGAGCUGGGGACAGGAUGGCAGGAGCUGGGGAUGGGAUGGCAGGAGCGCCCACUGUUGCUGCUGUGCAGCCUGCUGCGGUGACUGUUGAAGUUAGUAAGGACCUUCACAUGCACCACAUCCAUGACCGGGAGAUGCCUGAAGCUUUGGAGUUUAACCCUUCUGCCAAUCCAGGGGCAAACACAAUAUUCCAGAGGAACUCUCAAACAGAUGCUUUGGAGUUUAACACUUCUGCCAAUCCAGAGGCAAGCACACUAUUCCAGAGGAACUCUCAAGCAGAUGUGAUAGAAAUAGGAAGAAGCAAUUAUACAAACCAUGUAUCUACUGUGCAUUUCAGUCAACAAUACAGCUCAUGUUUGACAAUAUUCCUUGACAGCACAGCCAGCCAGCCUUAUCUUACAAUGACAAUAAUAUCAGAUGCAGAUGGAUCUUUGACCUUAUUUGAUGAACAGUUAUACUCAUUUACUGUUUCCACCAUGCACAUUACCCAGAUGAGAAAUGGAGGUGGGAGUUUUAGUAACUAUUCCUCCUCCAUUCCAUCGACUCCCAGCACCAGCCAGGAGGACCUUCAGAUCAAUGUUCCUCCCACUGCCAACACACCCACGCCCAUUUGCAAGCAGUCCAAGCACUGGUCCAAGCUGUUUACAUCUAAGAAAGGGAGUGACCCGGACAAAGAGAACAAAGCCCCGGAGAGUCAUACUGACACCAUCGGGAGCGGCAGAGCCAUCCCCAUUAAACAGGGCAUGCUCUUAAAGCUAAGUGGGAAAUGGCUGAAGAAAUGGAAAAAGAAAUAUGUUACCCUCUGUGACAAUGGCAUGCUCACCUAUUAUUCAAGCUUAGGUGAUUACAUGAAGAACAUUCAUAAAAAAGAGAUUGAUCUUCGAACAUCUACCAUCAAAGUCCCAGGAAAGAGGCCACCCCUAGCCACAUUGGCCUGCGUGCCCAUUUCCAGCUCUAAAAGCAAUGGCCUAUCCAAGGACAUGAACAGUCUAUGUACCUCAGCCAAUUCAGACACCAGGCUGAGUGACUCCAUAUGCUCCAGCUCCAAUAUCUCCAGCACCACCAGCCCCAAGCGCAGCCCACCCCCCUCUCCUCAUGCCAACAAAAGGAAACAUGGAAGGAAGAAAAGCACCAAACACUUAAAAGACGAUGGCUUCUCCGGCACUGCUGAAGAACGAGAAGAAAACUUUAUCAUUGUGUCCCUCACUGGCCAAACAUGGCACUUUGAAGCCACGUCGUAUGAGAAGUGGGAUGCCUGGGUCCAAGCCAUCGAGAGCCAGAUCCUGGCCAGCCUGCAGUCAUGCGAGAGCAGCAAAAGCAAGUUCUGGCUAAUGAGCUAGAGGGAGGCCAUGGCCCUGCAGUCCAUCCGAAAUGUGUGGGAACUCCCACUGUGUGCACUGUGAGACCCAGAAUCCUAACUGGGCCAGUUUGAACUUGGGAGUCCUCAUAUGUAUUGAAUGCUCAGGGAUCCACUGUAAUCUUGGCACCCGCCUUUCCCGAGUCUGAUCUCUGGACUUGGAUGACUGGCCAGUCGAGCUCAUGCAGGUUUUGUCAUCUAUUGGCAAUGAGCUAGCCAACAGCAUCUGGCAAGAGAGCAGCCAGGGGCGGAAGAAACCCUCAGUAGACUCCACAAGGGAAGAGAAGGAAUGGUGGAACCGUGCCAAAUAUGAGCAGAAGCUCUUCCUGGCUCCAUUACCCUCCACGGAGCUGUCCCUGGGCCAGCAUCUGCUGCAGGCCACCACUGAUGAGGACCUGCGGACAGCCAUCCUGCUGUUGGCACAUGGCUCCCGGGAGGAGGUGAAUGAGACCUGUGGGGAGGGAGACAGCUGCACGGUGCUCCAUCUGGCCUGCCGCAAGGGGAAUGUGGUCCUGGCGCAGCUCCUGAUCUGGUACGGGGUGGAUGUCAUGGCUGGAGAUGCCCACGGGAACAUAGCGCUGGCCUACGCCCGGCAGGCCUCCAGCCAGGAGUGCAUCAAGGUCCUGCUGCAGUACGGCUGCCCCGACGAGCACGUGUAGUAUCUGUUUAAUUUUAUUUGACUGCAGUCUCCUUGGUGCAAAAACAAAAUGGGGAAAUAAAUAAGAAUAACUCGGAAAUUCAAAAGGAAAUCACAAAUUCAGCUAAUAGCAGCAUUUUCAGUACAUUUCGUAAACUAAGUACAUAGACAAAAUGUUGAUUUUUCCGACGGUAAGAGAUAUUUUAUGUCCUUUUGCUUAGGUGUAUGUGUUAGUCUCAGGCCCUCCUGGGCGACAUUGCCCGAGUCACACAGGCUUCUGUAUUAUGUAUUUAGAUAUGUGAAAAUAUAUUUGAAAAAAGUUCA